AGUGCUUUCUUUCACCUUCCUGCCACUCUUUAGUGUCCGGCAUGGAAUGACGACAGUGGCGCCCCUCAGCGCCAGAACUCUCGCAGUCUCCUUCCCAAUCCCACUGGUUGCCCCUGCUCACAGACCCACAAUAACACCAAUCAACCCUCUCAGACCAUCAAGGAACCUUUUUCAACCAAAAUCUACUGGAAAAUAGAGCUCAAGUUGUGGUUUUUCCAGAGGCAAACGGAUGGCUGUGAGAUGGCAGGCGUGGAUGCCUUGGGUGACCCCCUCCGCGGCGGAGGAGGACCCGAAGCCCGAAGAAGGACCUUCUCCUCCUCCCCAGAAGGAGCUCCACCUCCAAAAUCCCAUCUUUUGAUUUCUCUCUUGAAAUGAAAAAUCCCAUCUUUAUCAGCUUCCAAAGUCAUCAGUCCUGAGCGCUAUUUAAAAUCGGAAAGAGAGUUAUGCUGUUCGGGUUACAAUGCCAAAUUCGUAUAUGCCUAAUAGAAGACUCCCACGUGUCCCCGAUACACGCGGUGGGGUGAGGUACGGCUGUAGUUGAAAAGAUUCGCAGUCCCAAUAGAAUCAGAGGCCGCCGCUUGUCGAAGAAACUAAAUUCGGACGCCAAAUUGCUUCCAUUUUGGCUCUUCUUUUGGGGCUCCGUCUCUACAUCUACUUCGGCUUCCGGCGCGAUUUCUUGCAACUCGAGUUGUAGGGUGUCUAAUUCUCCCCUUUCCUUCUUCCCAUUUCCCUCCUCUCUUCCCCCUUCUCUCCAAAAUUUCUCUCUGCCUCUCCUCGCCAUUGCUAGCUCUCAGGAGGAGAGAAGCCGCUUCUACUGGAAAAAGUCUCGCCUUUGAGGGUGGACUGGACUUGGGAGCCAUAACAGGUUUCAGGUGGAUUACCAAAAAGCUGUGGCGAAGCUUAUUUAAGCAUUUGAUUCCCGUAUUUUUAAUAAUGAAGAUCUUCACCGCGAUCCGAUGAUUCAUGGAUAUUUUCAAGGUCCGUUGAAGCCGCAUAAGUAUCCGGUCUUUACAGCUUUCGAGGUACCAGAUCACAGGAAGGACAAGAGAAGGAAGGGUUCAAUCAAAUGGCUUCUCGGCUUCAACUUCCAAGCGACGACUCUGUAGAUCUCGUCGUCACUCAUUCCAACAUCAAGAGCUUCUCUGCCCAAGUGCGCCUCUCCCUCCAGACGAUGGUGGAGUCGGCCAAGGAGAAGCUUUGGAGAAAGUGUGGGACGUCCGUGGACUUGAUGUGCCUCGAGCUCUACGAUGAUGCCGGGUCCAAAGUGUGUGACCUGAAUGACAAUCUGAGGCCACUUGGAUUCUAUUCCCCUCAAAAUGGGUACCGGCUGCAUAUUAUAGAUCUAGACCCCUCAUCAGUAAGCUCUGGUGGCUGGUUGGAUGACACUUCACUGGUGGAAAAAUAUAAAAUUUCUGAGGAAGCCUAUAAUAAACUUGAUUGCAAUUUUAGGAAAUUUAAAGAGAAAAUGAUAUCUCAAAAUCCACCAAGUGGUGAAAGCAAACUACCGGACGGUUACAUGGAGGACCUAUGUGCAAAUAUCAAGGUUGGAGAUGGAUGUGAAGUUGAACCUGGGGGAAAAAGGGGAGUCGUGAAGUUUGUUGGUCAAGCUGAGGCUUUAGGACCUGGCUUUUGGGUUGGCAUUCAAUAUGAUGAACCUCUUGGGAAACAUGAUGGCAUAAAAAACAUUCAUGAAGUUUGAUCCCACUAUCAAGAUAUUAAGGUGGUAUAAACAUCGGAUCAUUACCAUUGCAACCAAUAAACAAGAGAAAGAGGAGAAGAAAGGAAGGGAGAUGAAGGGCGAAGAAGGUUGCUCCAUCUUCCAUAUUAGAAACACCUUGCUUAGUUAAGGGAAGGGGGUAGAGAUCUCGGCCUCGUCAUCGUAGCAGAACUUGAAGUUGUUGAAGUCUAUGCGGUUUGAACCGAAACCAUCGCCCAUGGUCAAGGAUAGCAGGCUUGGCAAGGAACUGCCGAUGACUAGUCUUCCUCACGAUGAUGAGGGUGAAAGGUAUUCGCUAUUUUCAAUGCCUGCCACAGCAUGGUGCCAUACUUAGGCCAGACAAAGUCAAGGUUGGAGACUAUCCCGAGAGGGACCCAUUUGAUGAAGAAGAGAUAUAGACAACCGCGGAGUUGUACAUACAGCAUCUUCAGAGUCCUGUUAAAACUGUGAUUCUCAUGUUGGCCCCUUAGAAUCUCUUUGAUCAUCGUAACCUAUUUGCCUUGAGUUAUAUCCAAUCAUGCGUGGCAUUGUUGUUAUGAUGACUGAUACAUUCCCCUGUAAUUGCAGAACAUCGCCAGAGACCUAUUUGUUUUGAAACUGCUAUCGGACUGAUACCUUCACUUCUGGAAAGUUUAGUCGUUUUUUUGGAAGUACCGUAUGGAUGAUGGAUGAUGAAAGUAUGUGUAAGGAUGAUAUUAUGUUUCUGGAAAAUAAAUGGAUGUGACCAAUUCUCGUU
Molecule: non-coding RNA, 2453 nt
Organism: Elaeis guineensis (African oil palm)
Lineage: Eukaryota; Viridiplantae; Streptophyta; Magnoliopsida; Arecales; Arecaceae
Source: RefSeq, a predicted model, not a curated record